Molecule: long non-coding RNA, 572 nt
Organism: Homo sapiens (human)
Lineage: Eukaryota; Metazoa; Chordata; Mammalia; Primates; Hominidae
Source: Ensembl
CUCUUCUCCUGGAACCCCUCCCUGGGCACACACCCACUUACCCCACGGGCCCCUCCAUCUGGGCUCUCCUUUUGCCCGCACUGUUUGCUCUUGUCUCUGACGGUCGUGAUUUUGUUUAAGGGUCAGCCUCCUCCAUCGGAUUGGCAGCUCCUGGAGAGCAGGACCCAUGUCUGAUCACCUAGAAGACCUAGGUGGGUGUGGGUGAACAGGCUGUGAAAAGGGGUGACUUUCACUUCUUUCCUUUACAGGGCCGGAGUUAAGAUGAGUCCAGCGAAGUGCCUAGAGUACCAAAUUCAUGGAGACGUUUCCUCUUUGGGGAACACACGCCAACCCCAGAGACAGCUUUGGUCUGAAUCGUGCAGGUUCCGGGAAGACACGGUGACCAGCUGAAUCGUGUGGUCUCGUCUGAGAUGCAGAUUCAAGAUCAGAGUCUCCUGCUCACACUGAGGCAUCUUCACAGUGUCCUGGAGGAGCUGCGUGCGGACAGCGCCCACUGGGAGGACGCCAGGUCCAGCGGAGGGACAUCCCCCAUCAGAGCUCGAGCGGGCUCCGAAGGCAGGGGCUGCCAGCCG